Oncorhynchus kisutch (coho salmon) is the source of this 1283-nucleotide long non-coding RNA. RefSeq lists it as uncharacterized. The record is from RefSeq and is a predicted model, not a curated record. The transcript has 4 exons. Lineage: Eukaryota; Metazoa; Chordata; Actinopteri; Salmoniformes; Salmonidae.
AUAUAGCUCACCCUAUUGAAGGAUAAUGUAGAGCACUUAAGAGGGUAGCUGGACCAUAUUUUGUUUGACACAUUUCUAUUACAUGUGACCUGUCAAGGAUAGUAAAGUGAUCUGACACUUACCCCUUCUCAUCUCUCUUUCUCCAGGUGUGCGAGUGUCCUCUCUACUGGAAAGCUCCAUUGUUCAGUUCUGGAGGUGACAGGACUGGCUUCGUAUCCGUUCACAAGUUUGUGGCCAAGUGGAGAAAAACGCUGCAGACCUGUCACGGUGAUGUGUCUAAGUUUUUGGACCUCUUGGCCAAACCUGGCUGGAACAAGAGGACUUAAUUCCAUUCCCGCAGGCUCUCUUAUCCUUCUCCCACCUUUCAUUCUCAUCAUACUGAAGACUCUGUGGGGUGAGCCAGGGCAGGGGAACUGGGCAGUCUUAUUGAUUACUGGAGAGGAGUAUUUCCAGACAACAUAUCUCCCCUACUGCUUCACCUGCAUAGGAAGCAACUCUGGGAGAGGUCAGUUCCAAUAAAGUUCAGGAAUGGACUACAUCAAGGACCACCUGGAAGAACCCUUACUGCAGCUAGGUGAUGGCACCAGUUCAUCAGAUGAGGAGGACUUCUUCUCUGCCAUGAAAACGUCUCAAGCACAAGAAAGCUCCAAACAGCUGGACGGAUACCUGGCCUGUUUAGCUGAUCAAAUUGAGUUGCUCAAGUCCUUCCCGGCAGUCUGUAAGCUGUCUCAGAGGUUAAACACACCCUUACCUGCAUCAGCUGUUCAGCACUGCAGGACUUGUUUUCAGUCCCAGGAGUGCAAGGCUGGAUUCCAGAAACUUUGAAAAACAAUUUUUACUGAUGAUGAGCAUUCAAUUCUUCAACUUCACGUAAUGACAGCUUAAUGCUAGCAAGCACAAGGACAUGGCUGCCUCAUGCAUUUUGUUAAUUUAUGUGUAAAAUUCACAGGUUUUAGGUGUCCUUGUUAAAAUGCUUGACCUGUCACACAGAUUUCUGAUACAGUUCCAUCAGUGGUGAUGUCCUCAUAUUCCUACAAUGAGGUUGUGUGUACUUUUGACGAGUUCAAUUUUUUCCCCUAUGAAUAGGGUUCUAUUUUUUCUAAAGCAAAGUGACUGUGUUUGUAAGUGCUUAGGUUUACUGGCUAUAUUCCUUAAUUGUUAAGGCAUAAUUCUAUUUUGUCUGUAAGAGAUGUAUUUUGAAGUGCUGCCUAUUUGAGAAUCCACACAAGUCGUUACCUUUCAGAAAAGCUCAAACCAAAUAAAAGGCCUGGCUGUUUUGCUUU